UGGGGAAUAUUGCACAAUGGAGGGAACUCUGAUGCAGCGACGCCGCGUGAACGAAGAAGGCUUUCGUGUCGUAAAGUUCUUUUAUAUGGGAAGAUAAUGACGGUAACAUAAGAAAAAGCCCCGGCUAACUACGUGCCAGCAGCCGCGGUAAUACGUAGGGGGCUAGCGUUGUCCGGAAUCACUGGGCGUAAAGGGUUCGCAGGCGGAAAUGCAAGUCAGGUGUAAAAGGCAGUAGCUUAACUACUGUAAGCAUUUGAAACUGCAUAUCUUGAGAAGAGUAGAGGUAAGUGGAAUUUUUAGUUUAGCGGUGAAAUGCGUAGAUAUUAAAAAGAAUACCGGUGGCGAAGGCGACUUACCGGGCUCAUUCUGACGCUGAGGAACGAAAGCGUAGGUAGCAAACAGG
RNAcentral lists this ribosomal RNA (403 nucleotides) under bacterium. RNAcentral's name for it is "partial 16S ribosomal RNA". It matches the Rfam family "Bacterial small subunit ribosomal RNA", at positions 355 to 776 of the family's 1533-position model. The record is from RNAcentral.